RNAcentral lists this unclassified non-coding RNA (259 nucleotides) under uncultured Mortierella. RNAcentral's name for it is "sequence contains ITS2". The record is from RNAcentral. Lineage: Eukaryota; Fungi; Mortierellomycota; Mortierellomycetes; Mortierellales; Mortierellaceae.
AACACCCCUCAGAACUUUUUGAUUUUCGAAUCAUUGAGCUCUGGAUUUGAGUGAUCCCAACGUGUACUUUCGCAGAACAUGGCGGGCCACUUGAAAUGCAGGUGCAGCUGGACUUUGUUCUGAGCUAAAAGCAUAUUUAUUUAGUCCUGUCAACACUUGUGUUGCGGAUUAUUACUUCUGCUGCAGCUAACAUAAAGGAAGAUUGUUCAAAUGCUGACUGAUGCAGGAUUUCUCAGUGGGCGUAAAAGCCAACUGUUAA